GAUACCCCUGUAGUCCCAGCCGUAAACUAUGCGCGUUAGGUGUAUCGGUGACCACGAGUUACCGAGGUGCCGAAGGGAAACCGUGAAACGUGCCGCCUGGGAAGUACGGUCGCAAAGCUGAAACUUAAAGGAAUUGGCGGGGGAGCACCACAACAGGGUGGAGCCUGCGGUUUAAUUGGACUCAACGCCGGGAAGCUCACCGGAUAGGACAGCAGAAUGAUUGCCGGGCUGAAGACCCCUGCAUGACUAGCUG
This 253-nucleotide ribosomal RNA is filed under the name uncultured archaeon. RNAcentral describes it as "partial 16S ribosomal RNA". It matches the Rfam family "Archaeal small subunit ribosomal RNA", at positions 732 to 982 of the family's 1478-position model. The record is from RNAcentral.